AAUGGUUAUAAUAAAUUAACUGUGGGGUAUUUUGUGCUGAAACUUCACAAAUACAUUCUGGGGACACCCAAGACCAAUAUUACAUCUUGUAAAAAGGGGCAUAGUGCCCUUUAAAGUCCGAGGACGGAGUAGUCUACGUGAAAUUGGUAGGUGGGUAUACUUUAAAACAUAUGUAAUUGCCUUAUCUGUUUUAUACAAAUGUUAUUUGCAAAGUAUAAAUACGUUUGAGUUAAUAAAUAUAUGUAUGAACAUCGGACCGGGUGAGCAUUUCCCAUUUAAGCCGCACUAACUAGAAUUUUCCUCCCGCAGCGGCGCUGGCAGACCGGCUGGACCAUCGCGUGACAGGCGGGAAGAGCCGUUGUGAAGACAAAAAGCCUACUACCUGAAAUUGCGGCUAACGUGAACUAACGUGAGACAGUCACAGGCGGGAAGAGUCGUUAUGAAGACGAAAAGCAUUCGUGAAAAUGCGGCGCUGGCAGACGGGCUGAACCAUCGUGAGACAGGGGGGAAGAGUCGUCGCAAUAAAGAAGACCCUUUUCUUUAUGGCAUGUGGUUUUAAGAUGUAAGAUGUAUUCACUGGUUAUUGUUGUAUACUGCUACUAAUUAAGUACUUUAACUCUUCAAACUUUAUUUUUAUAUUUCCAACAUUUAUUUUCCACUGGCACAAUGUGUUAAUGUGAUUUUAGUGGUAUGAAUUAAUUGUAUUUUGUUAAUUGAUGAAAUUAAUAUGCUGGUAAAUUUCUGUAUUGAAGUUCAGAAAUAUAAAAGAUGAAACCUACAUAAAGUUGAUCUGAAGCAAUAAUUUGUGUUAUUGAAUAUAUAACAGUUAACUUAAAAUAAAUAAAAAUUAACUGUGAAAAUAACUACAGUAGUUUUAAGCAUACUGUAAAAUAAAGUACAGCAUUAUACUUUAUUUUACAGUACAGUACAGUAAAACUAGUAUACUGUAGUUAUUUUUACGGUAAUUUUACUGUGGUAUUAAAUACAGCAACUACUGGAUAAUUGUUGCCAGUAAGUUACUGUUAAUUUGACAAUAAACAUUUUACAGUGUGUUUAUGACAGGAUAUGA
This is a long non-coding RNA of Megalobrama amblycephala (Wuchang bream), 1069 nucleotides long. RefSeq lists it as uncharacterized. Lineage: Eukaryota; Metazoa; Chordata; Actinopteri; Cypriniformes; Xenocyprididae. The record is from RefSeq and is a predicted model, not a curated record. The transcript is spliced from 3 exons.